CAGGGCGAAAGCUGACGGAGCAGAACGCGUGAGGGAGGAAGGCUUUUGGGUUGUAAACCUCUUUUCUCUGGGAAGAAGAAAUGACGGUACCAGAGGAAUAAGCAUCGGCUAACUCCGUGCCAGCAGCCGCGGUAAGACGGAGGAUGCAAGCGUUAUCCGGAAUUAUUGGGCGUAAAGCGUCCGCAGGUGGCCAACCAAGUCUGUCGUCAAAGACCGCAGCUUAACUGCGGGAAGGCGGUGGAAACUGGUAGGCUAGAGGGCAGUAGGGGUAGAGAGAAUUCCCAGUGUAGCGGUGAAAUGCGUAGAGAUUGGGAAGAACACCGGUGGCGAAAGCGCUCUACUGGACUGCAACUGACACUAAGGGACGAAAGCUAGGGGAGCGAAAGGGAUUAGAUACCCCUGUAGUCCUAGCCGUAAACGAUGGAUACUAGGUGUUGCCUGUAUCGACCCGGGCAGUGCCGUAGCCAACGCGUUAAGUAUCCCGCCUGGGGAGUACGCACGCAAGUGUGAAACUCAAAGGAAUUGACGGGGGCCCGCACAAGCGGUGGAGUAUGUGGUUUAAUUCGAUGCAACGCGAAGCAACUUACCAGGACUUGACAUGUCGCGAAA
This 609-nucleotide ribosomal RNA is filed under the name uncultured bacterium. RNAcentral describes it as "bacterial SSU rRNA". It matches the Rfam family "Bacterial small subunit ribosomal RNA", at positions 372 to 996 of the family's 1533-position model. The record is from RNAcentral.